AUAGACACCUCUGCCCUAAUAAGAGGACUCACCCUGUAAGAGGGGCAUGUGGAAUGGGAGCUCACUCCAAAAGUGGAAAGGAGAAGCAAUGUCACAGGAAAAUCGGAAAGUGAUUACCAGAAGUGGGAUAAGACCAGACAGGAAAAAUACCCCAAACAAAGGAAAGUAAAGACCAUAGACCAUAUAAGAAUCACUAACAUGAGCUGCAUACGCUGGAGGCCCCUCUGCUGUCAUUAUUUUAUGUGCUGGAAAACGCUGCGAUGGGAAGACAGCCCAGUCAGAUGGGGAUGGCCUGGAAUAGGAGCCAGGAUCUCUUGGCAUACAUUUACCUCAGCCGCACUCUUCAGUGCUCUGCAUCCAGGCUACGCGGAGGCUGCAUGUUACAGGAGCCGUGCAUCCCUGAAGACUUGGAAUAAGUCAAGAUUUACAUAAUCCCAGAGACAUCCUUCCAAAGCGUGAUAGUAACUCUGUUCCAUGGCUGGAGUGGCUCCUCCAGGUGCCAGCAGCAUAAACCCACCUUUCAAUCAGUCUGCAGCUCAGAAAUACUACCUGAUUCUAGACAGGCUUUUCAACGUAAUAGGUUGAAUUAUUAUGUCUUGUACAUAAAUUAAGACUUUACAUUUUUAUAC
Homo sapiens (human) is the source of this 629-nucleotide long non-coding RNA. The record is from Ensembl. Lineage: Eukaryota; Metazoa; Chordata; Mammalia; Primates; Hominidae.